AUGGAAACCACAAGGCUAUCCUUGCUCUCUCUUCUUCCGUUCCUUCUCCUCGCGAUCGCUGCCGAGGCAACCGGCGGCGAGCUCAGCACGUUCAUCGUCCACGUGCAAGCAGAGGAAAACCACGUGUUUGGCACCGCGGACGACCGGAAGGCGUGGUACCACUCGUUCCUCCCGGAACAUGGCCGGCUCGUGCACGCGUACCAUCACGUCGCCAGCGGGUUCGCGGCCCGGCUGACGCGGCAGGAGCUGGAGGCGGUGUCCGCCAUGCCCGGGUUCCUCAGCGCGACCCGCGCCCGGACGUACACCACGCUCACGACGCACACGCCCGAGUUCCUGGGGCUGAACCUGGAGGAGCAGGGGCGGCGGAACUACACGUCGGAGUUCGGCGCCGGGGUCAUCGUCGCCGUGAUCGACACCGGCAUCUUCCCGGACCACCCGUCCUUCAGCGACGACGGCAUGCCGCCGCCGCCGGCCAAGUGGAAGGGGCGCUGCGACUUCAGCGGCACCUCGUGCAACAAUAAGCUCAUCGGCGCGCGCAACAUGGUCGCCGCCCUCAACGGCCCGAACGGCACUUCCGCGCGGGUCCCGCCGGUCGAUGAGUUUGGGCACGGGACUCACACGGCAAGCACCGCCGCUGGGGCGGUCGUGCCGGGCGCUAAUGUGCUCGGCCACGCAUGGGGCACCGCCGCCGGGAUGGCGGUCCGCGCGCACAUCGCCAUAUACAAGGUGUGCUACGGAAAAGUUGUAGUAGACUGCGAGGAUGCCGACAUACUGGCUGGCAUUGACGCCGCCGUGGGCGACUGCUGUGACGUCAUCUCCAUGUCUCUCGGCGGGCCGUCGGUGCCCUUUCACCUAAACCCUAUGGCCAUCGGGACGUUCGGUGCCAUGGAGAAGGGCAUUUUUGUGAGCAUGGCUGCUGGCAACUCCGGCCCGGGAGAGAGCACCGUGAUAAACGAGGCUCCAUGGAUGCUCACCGUGGCCGCGAGUACCAUGGACCGCUCGAUUCGUUCGACCGUGCAGCUGGGGAACGGCGCGUAUUUCCACGGCGAGUCGCUAUACCAGCCAAACGUUGGCUUCUGCCCGUUGGUCUACGCGGGCGCGAGUGGGAAGCCAUUCGCCGAGUUCUGCGGAAACGGCAGUCUGGACGGCUUCGACGUCAAGGGCAAGAUAGUGCUGUGUGAACUCACGAAAAACAUCUCGGUGAUCAACCAAGGUGAGGUAGUGGAGAGUGCCGGCGGCGUCGCCAUGAUCUUGGCGAGCCCGUUUUUCCGAGGGUACGACAAGUUAGCCCAGGCGAACAUCCUCCCGGCGUCGAGCGUCGACUACCUCGUGGCCGCAGCCAUCAAAUCCUACCUCAACUCCACGGCGAACCCGGUUGCGCGUAUGGGCUUCAGGGGUACAUUACUCGGCACGUCACCUGCUCCGUCGAUCAUCUUCUUCUCGUCUCGCGGGCCUAGCCGUCAGGGCACUGGCGUUCUGAAGCCCGACAUCACGGGCCCCGGAAUGAACGUGCUCGCGGCAUGGCCUUUUCAGGUUGGCCCACCGUCGGCGCCGGUUCUCCCUGGGCCGACCUUCAACAUCAUCUCCGGCACGUCCAUGUCCACACCGCACCUUGCCGGCAUCGCCGCUUUAAUCAAGAGCAAGCACCCGGACUGGUCACCGGCGGCGAUAAAGUCGGCAAUGAUGACGACGGCCGACAUCACCGACCGCUCCGGCAAUCCCAUACUCAACGAGCAGCGCGUGGCGGCCAACCUCUUCGCCACCGGCGCCGGACACGUCAACCCAAUGAAGGCCGCUGACCCUGGCCUAGUCUACGACAUCACCCCCGAGGAUUACAUCGGCUACCUCUGUAGCAUGUACACGAGCCAGCAGGUCUCGGUGAUCACACGCCGGCCAAUCGACUGCUUGACCACCGUCGUGAUCAGCGACCGCCUGCUGAAUUACCCUUCGAUCUCGGUCGCUUUCCCAGCUUCCUGGAAUUCGACUGCGCCCGUCGUCGUCAGGCGCAAGGUGAAAAACGUCGGGGAGGUGCCUUCGGUGUACUACGCGGCGAUCGACAUGCCGAGCAGCACCGUAAGCGUGGACGUAUUUCCGAGGGACCUGGAAUUCAUCAAGCCAAACCAGGAACUGACUUUCUCGGUAUACGUGUGGCCGAGGCAGAGUGCUGCGAGGGUGCUACAGGGUGCGCUGCGGUGGGUGUCCGAAAAGCACACUGUACGGAGCCCAAUCUCCAUCACCUUUGCCUGA
Molecule: ribosomal RNA, 2247 nt
Filed under: Triticum aestivum (bread wheat)
Lineage: Eukaryota; Viridiplantae; Streptophyta; Magnoliopsida; Poales; Poaceae
Description: partial small subunit ribosomal RNA
Source: RNAcentral